ACGCUGCAUGAGCUCGCAGCCAUGCCUCACCUUCUGCGUGUCCUCGAAGAAUAGCGUCACUGGGCUUCAGAUUUCUUCACCGUGUUUGUCUUGAAGGUCAAUGCAGUGGAGUUUAAUCAGAUCAGUCUCUCAGAAGAGGGUGAAGAGCAAAACAGACAACUGGAAAGACGUAUAAACAAUUUUCCUGACAGCCGAGGCUUUGAGACGGCAGCACCAGGAGGGAAGAGGAGGACGACGAAGAACCGGAACGUGAAGAACCACCAGCAGCAGCAACUACCACCUCUGAAAAUGCAUUCCAGUUUGCGACAUAUUUAAAAGGAGACCCUGCAAAGCCCUCUGUCGCAAGCAUCCGGCUCGGCUUACAUCACCCGAAAGACUUAUGCUGCGCCGGAUCAGCGUAAAGCCUGACAAGAUGUCCCGGGUGAUUUGCGAGGAGAACCUCUAGAGGUACUAGGAGCUGGCAGAAGGAGAGAUACCCGAGGCCUCUGGUUUUCUAUGCCGCAACGCCACGAGGAUUUUUGUAUUUUUUUGUAGGAGGUUCAAGCGUCCGAUUGGGAUGUCUCCUGACAUCCUUCUUCCAGAGGUUCUCCAGGCGUGUCCAACGGUAACGAGGGGCCCGGGGCAUCGGGCCUGAGGACAUCCUGGAGCUGUAGGACGUGUGGACCACAACAGACCAGAAUAGCAACCACAAUCAGAACAUCCAGCAUGACAGCCGUGGCAGACGCUCGCCAGUCC
This is a long non-coding RNA of Gasterosteus aculeatus aculeatus (three-spined stickleback), 735 nucleotides long. NCBI's taxonomy places the organism in Eukaryota, Metazoa, Chordata, Actinopteri, Perciformes, Gasterosteidae. The record is from Ensembl.